GCGGGCGUAGCUCAGUUGGUUAGAGCACCAGAUUGUGGAUCUGGGGGUCGCCGGUUCAAGCCCGGUCGCUCGCCCCA
This 77-nucleotide transfer RNA is filed under the name Rhodospirillaceae bacterium. Its description in RNAcentral is "tRNA-His". It matches the Rfam family "tRNA". Rfam says of the family: Transfer RNA (tRNA) molecules are approximately 80 nucleotides in length. Their secondary structure includes four short double-helical elements and three loops (D, anti-codon, and T loops). The record is from RNAcentral. RNAcentral also lists the same sequence under 1 other name. Lineage: Bacteria; Pseudomonadati; Pseudomonadota; Alphaproteobacteria; Rhodospirillales; Rhodospirillaceae.